UGAAUACGAGGCACUAAGGUGCUGAAGUAGUGUAUGUCAUACUUCCAAGAAAAGCUUGCACUAUCGUAAGAUAAAAAUGCCUGUACCAUAACCGACACAGGUGGGUAAGUAGAGUAUACUAAGGGGCGCGAGAUAACUCUCUCUAAGGAACUCGGCAAAAUAACUCCGUAACUUCGGGAGAAGGAGUGCCUUAUUCUAUAAGGUUGCAAUAACAAGAUCCAAGCAACUGUUUAUCAAAAACACAGGUCUCCGCUAAGUCGUAAGACGAUGUAUGGGGGCUGACGCCUGCCCAGUGCCAGUAGGUUAAAGAAGUCGGUUAGCAAUUGCGAAGCUGGUAACUGAAGCCCUGGUGAACGGCGGCCGUAACUAUAACGGUCCUAAGGUAGCGAAAUUCCUUGUCGGGUAAGUUCCGACCCGCACGAAAGGCGUAAUGAUUUGGAUACUGUCUCGGAGAGGGACUCGGUGAAAUAGACUUGUCUGUGAAGAUGCGGACUACCUGCACCAGGACAGAAAGACCCUAUGAAGCUUUACUGUAACUUGAAAUUGAAAUUGGACUUUAUUCGCGCAGUAUAGGUGGGAGGCGUUGAUUAUAAUCUUGUGGGAUUAUUGGAGCCAUUAGUGAGAUACCACUCUUGUAAUGUUAGAUUUCUAACUUUGAAUCAUGAUCUGGUCAAAGAACAGUUUCAGGCGGGCAGUUUGACUGGGGCGGUCGCCUCCUAAAUGGUAACGGAGGCGUACAAAGGUUUCCUCUGAACGGGUAGAAAUCGUAUCUAGAGUGUAAAGGCAUAAGGAAGCUUGACUGUGAGACCUACAAGUCGAGCAGGGACGAAAGUCGGUCUUAGUGAUCUGACGGUACUGAGUGGAAAGGCCGUCACUCAACGGAUAAAAGUUACUCUAGGAUAACAGGCUGAUCUCCCCCAAGAGUUCACAUCGACGGGGAGGUUUGGCACCUCGGUGUCGGCUCAUCGCAUCCUGGGGCGGUAGUACGUCCCAAGGGUUGGGCUGUUCGCCCAUGAAAGCGGUACGCGAGCUGGGUUCAGAACGUCGUGAGACAGUUCGGUCCAUAUCCGGUGUAGGCGUUAGAAUAUUGAGAGGAGCCUUCUUUAGUACGAGAGGACCGAGAAGGACAUACCUCUGGUGUACCAGUUAUCGUGCCAACGGUAAACGCUGGGUAGCUAUGUAUGGAGUGGAUAACCGCUGAAAGCAUCUAAGUGGGAAGCCCACCUCAAGAUAAGUAUUCU
RNAcentral lists this ribosomal RNA (1241 nucleotides) under metagenome. RNAcentral's name for it is "bacterial LSU rRNA". It matches the Rfam family "Bacterial large subunit ribosomal RNA", at positions 1564 to 2814 of the family's 2925-position model. The record is from RNAcentral.